This 185-nucleotide non-coding RNA is filed under the name bacterium. RNAcentral describes it as "6S RNA". It matches the Rfam family "6S / SsrS RNA". From Rfam's summary of the family: E. coli 6S RNA was the first non coding RNA to be sequenced, but its function was unknown until recently. It consists of 184 nucleotides that fold into an extended hairpin structure with a large single-stranded internal bulge. The 6S RNA specifically associates with RNA polymerase holoenzyme containing the sigma70 specificity factor. The record is from RNAcentral.
AUUUCCCUGCCGUGUUCGUAGAUGUGUUUUAAUUUUUGACCCAACACUUCACAAAAGGGAAUCUGAUUUUUAGGUGUGGCUUGGAAUCCCCUUUUCAUAGGGGAAGCAUAAAGCACUUAAUUAGGAGGCCCAUUUUGGAAAUCGGGUUCAAAAGUAGCAUUAUUUACGGCACAGGCGGGGUUUUU